CUUAUCUCAGUCUGAGAAUUAGAAGAGGAUGGGAAUGAAAUGAUGUUUUUCGGGUAUAAUUAGACACAUUACGCGAGAAAAACACUAAUUCCAGCCGAUACAAACACUAUUUAGAAAAUGAAACGAUGAUAUAGAAAAUAGGUGGAAAAAUCGAAAUCUCAUUUAUAUAUCCUUAUCUCAGUCUGAGAAUUAGAAGAGGAUGGGAAUGAAAUGAUGUUUUUCGGGUAUAAUUAGACACAUUACGCGAGAAAAACACUAAUUCCAGCCGAUACAAACACUAUUUAGAAAAUGAAACGAUGAUAUAGAAAAUAGGUGGAAAAAUCGAAAUCUCAUUUAUAUAUCCUUAUCUCAGUCUGAGAAUUAGAAGAAGAUGGGAAUGAAAUGAUGUUUUUCGGGUAUAAUUAGACACAUUACGCGAGAAAAACACUAAUUCCAGCCGAUCCAAACACUAUUUAGAAAAUGAAACGAUGAUAUAGAAAAUAGGUGGAAAAAUCGAAAUCUCAUUUAUAUAUCCUUAUCUCAGUCUGAGAAUUAGAAGAAGAUGGGAAUGAAAUGAUGUUUUUAGGGUAUAAUUAGACAUAUUACGAGAGAAAAACACUAAAUCCAGCCGAUACAAACACUAUUUAGAAAAUGAAACGAUGAUAUAGAAAAUAGGUGGAAAAAUCGAAAUCUCAUUUAUAUAUCCUUAUCUCAGUCUGAGAAUUAGAAGAGGAUGGGAAUGAAAUGAUGUUUUUCGGGUAUAAUUAGAUACAUUACGCGAGAAAAACACUAAUUCCAGCCGAUACAAACACUAUUUAGAAAAUGAAACGAUGAUAUAGAAAAUAGGUGGAAAAAUCGAAAUCUCAUUUAUAUAUCCUUAUCUCAGUCUGAGAAUUAGAAGAGGAUGGGAAUGAAAUGAUGUUUUUCGGGUAUAAUUAGAUACAUUACGCGAGAAAAACACUAAUUCCAGCCGAUACAAACACUAUUUAGAAAAUGAAACGAUGAUAUAGAAAAUAGGUGGAAAAAUCGAAAUCUCAUUUAUAUAUCCUUAUCUCAGUCUGAGAAUUAGAAGAGGAUGGGAAUGAAAUGAUGUUUUUCGGGUAUAAUUAGACACAUUACGCGAGAAAAACACUAAUUCCAGCCGAUCCAAACACUAUUUAGAAAAUGAAACGAUGAUAUAGAAAAUAGGUGGAAAAAUCGAAAUCUCAUUUAUAUAUCCUUAUCUCAGUCUGAGAAUUAGAAGAGGAUGGGAAUGAAAUGAUGUUUUUCGGGUAUAAUUAGAUACAUUACGCGAGAAAAACACUAAUUCCAGCCGAUACAAACACUAUUUAGAAAAUGAAACGAUGAUAUAGAAAAUAGGUGGAAAAAUCGAAAUCUCAUUUAUAUAUCCUUAUCUCAGUCUGAGAAUUAGAAGAGGAUGGGAAUGAAAUGAUGUUUUUCGGGUAUAAUUGGACACAUUACGCGAGAAAAACACUAAUUCCAGCCGAUCCAAACACUAUUUAGAAAAUGAAACGAUGAUAUAGAAAAUAGGUGGAAAAAUCGAAAUCUCAUUUAUAUAUCCUUAUCUCAGUCUGAGAAUUAGAAGAAGAUGGGAAUGAAAUGAUGUUUUUAGGGUAUAAUUAGACAUAUUACGAGAGAAAAACACUAAUUCCAGCCGAUCCAAACACUAUUUAGAAAAUGAAACGAUGAUAUAGAAAAUAGGUGGAAAAAUCGAAAUCUCAUUUAUAUAUCCUUAUCUCAGUCUGAGAAUUAGAAGAGGAUGGGAAUGAAAUGAUGUUUUUCGGGUAUAAUUAGAUACAUUACGCGAGAAAAACACUAAUUCCAGCCGAUACAAACACUAUUUAGAAAAUGAAACGAUGAUAUAGAAAAUAGGUGGAAAAAUCGAAAUCUCAUUUAUAUAUCCUUAUCUCAGUCUGAGAAUUAGAAGAGGAUGGGAAUGAAAUGAUGUUUUUCGGGUAUAAUUAGAUACAUUACGCGAGAAAAACACUAAUUCCAGCCGAUACAAACACUAUUUAGAAAAUGAAACGAUGAUAUAGAAAAUAGGUGGAAAAAUCGAAAUCUCAUUUAUAUAUCCUUAUCUCAGUCUGAGAAUUAGAAGAGGAUGGGAAUGAAAUGAUGUUUUUCGGGUAUAAUUAGAUACAUUACGCGAGAAAAACACUAAUUCCAGCCGAUACAAACACUAUUUAGAAAAUGAAACGAUGAUAUAGAAAAUAGGUGGAAAAAUCGAAAUCUCAUUUAUAUAUCCUUAUCUCAGUCUGAGAAUUAGAAGAGGAUGGGAAUGAAAUGAUGUUUUUCGGGUAUAAUUAGACACAUUACGCGAGAAAAACACUAAUUCCAGCCGAUCCAAACACUAUUUAGAAAAUGAAACGAUGAUAUAGAAAAUAGGUGGAAAAAUCGAAAUCUCAUUUAUAUAUCCUUAUCUCAGUCUGAGAAUUAGAAGAAGAUGGGAAUGAAAUGAUGUUUUUAGGGUAUAAUUAGACAUAUUACGAGAGAAAAACACUAAAUCCAGCCGAUACAAACACUAUUUAGAAAAUGAAACGAUGAUAUAGAAAAUAGGUGGAAAAAUCGAAAUCUCAUUUAUAUAUCCUUAUCUCAGUCUGAGAAUUAGAAGAAGAUGGGAAUGAAAUGAUGUUUUUCGGGUAUAAUUAGACACAUUACGCGAGAAAAACACUAAUUCCAGCCGAUACAAACACUAUUUAGAAAAUGAAACGAUGAUAUAGAAAAUAGGUGGAAAAAUCGAAAUCUCAUUUAUAUAUCCUUAUCUCAGUCUGAGAAUUAGAAGAGGAUGGGAAUGAAAUGAUGUUUUUCGGAUAUAAUUAGACACAUUACGCGAGAAAAACACUAAUUCCAGACGAUAGAAACACUACUUAGAAAAUGAAACGAUGAUAUAGAAAAUAGGUGGAAAAAUCGAAAUCUCAUUUAUAUAUCCUUAUCUCAGUCUGAGAAUUAGAAGAAGAUGGGAAUGAAAUGAUGUUUUUAGGGUAUAAUUAGACAUAUUACGAGAGAAAAACACUAAUUCCAGCCGAUCCAAACACUAUUUAGAAAAUGAAACGAUGAUAUAGAAAAUAGGUGGAAAAAUCGAAAUCUCAUUUAUAUAUCCUUAUCUCAGUCUGAGAAUUAGAAGAGGAUGGGAAUGAAAUGAUGUUUUUCGGGUAUAAUUAGAUACAUUACGCGAGAAAAACACUAAUUCCAGCCGAUACAAACACUAUUUAGAAAAUGAAACGAUGAUAUAGAAAAUAGGUGGAAAAAUCGAAAUCUCAUUUAUAUAUCCUUAUCUCAGUCUGAGAAUUAGAAGAGGAUGGGAAUGAAAUGAUGUUUUUCGGGUAUAAUUAGAUACAUUACGCGAGAAAAACACUAAUUCCAGCCGAUACAAACACUAUUUAGAAAAUGAAACGAUGAUAUAGAAAAUAGGUGGAAAAAUCGAAAUCUCAUUUAUAUAUCCUUAUCUCAGUCUGAGAAUUAGAAGAGGAUGGGAAUGAAAUGAUGUUUUUCGGGUAUAAUUAGAUACAUUACGCGAGAAAAACACUAAUUCCAGCCGAUACAAACACUAUUUAGAAAAUGAAACGAUGAUAUAGAAAAUAGGUGGAAAAAUCGAAAUCUCAUUUAUAUAUCCUUAUCUCAGUCUGAGAAUUAGAAGAGGAUGGGAAUGAAAUGAUGUUUUUCGGGUAUAAUUAGAUACAUUACGCGAGAAAAACACUAAUUCCAGCCGAUACAAACACUAUUUAGAAAAUGAAACGAUGAUAUAGAAAAUAGGUGGAAAAAUCGAAAUCUCAUUUAUAUAUCCUUAUCUCAGUCUGAGAAUUAGAAGAGGAUGGGAAUGAAAUGAUGUUUUUCGGGUAUAAUUAGACACAUUACGCGAGAAAAACACUAAUUCCAGCCGAUCCAAACACUAUUUAGAAAAUGAAACGAUGAUAUAGAAAAUAGGUGGAAAAAUCGAAAUCUCAUUUAUAUAUCCUUAUCUCAGUCUGAGAAUUAGAAGAAGAUGGGAAUGAAAUGAUGUUUUUCGGGUAUAAUUAGACACAUUACGCAAGAAAAACACUAAUUCCAGCCGAUACAAACACUAUUUAGAAAAUGAAACGAUGAUAUAGAAAAUAGGUGGAAAAAUCGAAAUCUCAUUUAUAUAUCCUUAUCUCAGUCUGAGAAUUAGAAGAGGAUGGGAAUGAAAUGAUGUUUUUCGGGUAUAAUUAGAUACAUUACGCGAGAAAAACACUAAUUCCAGCCGAUACAAACACUAUUUAGAAAAUGAAACGAUGAUAUAGAAAAUAGGUGGAAAAAUCGAAAUCUCAUUUAUAUAUCCUUAUCUCAGUCUGAGAAUUAGAAGAGGAUGGGAAUGAAAUGAUGUUUUUCGGGUAUAAUUAGACACAUUACGCGAGAAAAACACUAAUUCCAGCCGAUCCAAACACUAUUUAGAAAAUGAAACGAUGAUAUAGAAAAUAGGUGGAAAAAUCGAAAUCUCAUUUAUAUAUCCUUAUCUCAGUCUGAGAAUUAGAAGAAGAUGGGAAUGAAAUGAUGUUUUUAGGGUAUAAUUAGACAUAUUACGAGAGAAAAACACUAAUUCCAGCCGAUCCAAACACUAUUUAGAAAAUGAAACGAUGAUAUAGAAAAUAGGUGGAAAAAUCGAAAUCUCAUUUAUAUAUCCUUAUCUCAGUCUGAGAAUUAGAAGAGGAUGGGAAUGAAAUGAUGUUUUUCGGGUAUAAUUAGAUACAUUACGCGAGAAAAACACUAAUUCCAGCCGAUACAAACACUAUUUAGAAAAUGAAACGAUGAUAUAGAAAAUAGGUGGAAAAAUCGAAAUCUCAUUUAUAUAUCCUUAUCUCAGUCUGAGAAUUAGAAGAGGAUGGGAAUGAAAUGAUGUUUUUAGGGUAUAAUUAGACACAUUACGCGAGAAAAACACUAAUUCCAGCCGAUCCAAACACUAUUUAGAAAAUGAAACGAUGAUAUAGAAAAUAGGUGGAAAAAUCGAAAUCUCAUUUAUAUAUCCUUAUCUCAGUCUGAGAAUUAGAAGAUGAUGGGAAUAAAAUGAUGUUUUUCGGGUAUAAUUAGACACAUUACGCGAGAAAAACACUAAUUCCAGACGAUACAAACACUGUUUAGAAAAUG
Molecule: long non-coding RNA, 5079 nt
Organism: Anthonomus grandis grandis
Lineage: Eukaryota; Metazoa; Arthropoda; Insecta; Coleoptera; Curculionidae
Exons: 4
Source: RefSeq, a predicted model, not a curated record